This 484-nucleotide ribosomal RNA is filed under the name uncultured bacterium. RNAcentral's name for it is "partial 16S ribosomal RNA". It matches the Rfam family "Bacterial small subunit ribosomal RNA", at positions 30 to 507 of the family's 1533-position model. The record is from RNAcentral.
AUUGAACGCUGGCGGCAGGCCUAACACAUGCAAGUCGAGCGGAUGAAGGGAGCUUGCUCCUGGAUUCAGCGGCGGACGGGUGAGUAAUGCCUAGGAAUCUGCCUGGUCGUGGGGGAUAACGUCCGGAAACGGGCGCUAAUACCGCAUACGUCCUGAGGGAGAAAGUGGGGGAUCUUCGGACCUCACGCUAUCAGAUGAGCCUAGGUCGGAUUAGCUAGUUGGUGGGGUAAAGGCCUACCAAGGCGACGAUCCGUAACUGGUCUGAGAGGAUGAUCAGUCACACUGGAACUGAGACACGGUCCAGACUCCUACGGGAGGCAGCAGUGGGGAAUAUUGGACGAUGGGCGAAAGCCUGAUCCAGCCAUGCCGCGUGUAUGAAGAAGGUCUUCGGAUUGUAAAGCACUUUAAGUUGGGAGGAAGGGCAGUAAGUUAAUACCUUGCUGUUUUGACGUUACCAACAGAAUAAGCACCGGCUAACUUCGUG